CCAUGGACACUAAUAUGACAACAUAUCGUGAUGUAAGAACAGGUGUGGGACUUGAUAAAACUGGCGGAUUAUAUCUAACAGAGAAGGAAGAUAUUGACUCGUCAAGGAUAGAAUUACUGGUGAAUCACUUGGAGAAUCGUGGUUGCAAAUUUUGAAACAUUAUAGAGCAUGAUGGAUGUUGUCAAUAACAUACUUGUUUCUGGAAAUGGGUUGGGCUUUCGAAAUGGAGUUCAGCAACUUCCAGAAGUUGCUGUUGGCAUACCCAAUGGGAUGCCUCAUGCAAGUUCCAGUAAUGAAGAACUAGAGAGGAGUUUCCAGAGCACUGUCGUAUUGACUGAUAGUGAAACAGUUGGAUCUUUUGUCCAAGAGGUCAAUAAUGAAACUACAAUUACUGUAGAAAGCAAUGUUGGUGUCAGUUCCGAGGUAAGGGAGAUUUUCCUGAGUUGUUACUUACUAAGGACAAGCCUUGGAUUGAGGCUAAUGCGAGGAGGAAAAUCUUGAUAUAGAUUAGAUAUUAGGAAGAGUGCUAAUGAAACCUUUAAUGGGCUCGAUUUAUUGCUAGUGCUAAUGGUCUUCUUGCCAAAACAUUGUAUUGUGUAUAUAGGUGAAAUAUCAUUUUAUUUGUACACUUGUUGAAUCCCCUGCACACUAGCUAGAUAGCAUGAAAAUCCUUGCUCCACCACUAUAGUCUUAUUCUUUCCUUAUGGUCAAUUAUGAAAUUAUAUUGGUACAUGAUAAUACUUUCUGCAAUUGCAGACAUUGAACUACCAGUUGUUGAAAUAUAUUUCGGUAUUAUAUAUAUUGUCUUUAUCCCUGAUUUUUAUUAUUUUCAG
Solanum verrucosum is the source of this 833-nucleotide long non-coding RNA. RefSeq lists it as uncharacterized. The transcript is spliced from 3 exons. Lineage: Eukaryota; Viridiplantae; Streptophyta; Magnoliopsida; Solanales; Solanaceae. The record is from RefSeq and is a predicted model, not a curated record.